UACGUAGGGUGCGAGCGUUAAUCGGAAUUACUGGGCGUAAAGCGUGCGUAGGCGGUUCUCCAAGUCCGUUGUGAAAGCCCCGGGCUCAACCUGGGAAUGGCAGUGGAAACUAGGGGGCUUGAAUCUGGCAGAGGGGGGUGGAAUGCCGCGUGUAGCAGUGAAAUGCGUAGAGAUGCGGCGGAACACCGAUGGCGAAGGCAGCCCCCUGGGCUGAGAUUGACGCUCAGGCACGAAAGCGUGGGGAGCAAACAGG
This 253-nucleotide ribosomal RNA is filed under the name uncultured bacterium. RNAcentral's name for it is "partial 16S ribosomal RNA". It matches the Rfam family "Bacterial small subunit ribosomal RNA", at positions 524 to 776 of the family's 1533-position model. The record is from RNAcentral.